RNAcentral lists this unclassified non-coding RNA (253 nucleotides) under uncultured Bacillaceae bacterium. RNAcentral describes it as "contains 16S-23S intergenic spacer region". It matches the Rfam family "Bacterial small subunit ribosomal RNA", at positions 524 to 776 of the family's 1533-position model. The record is from RNAcentral. Lineage: Bacteria; Bacillati; Bacillota; Bacilli; Caryophanales; Bacillaceae.
UACGUAGGGGGCAAGCGUUUGCCGGGAUUAUUGGGCGUAAAGCGCCCGUAGGCGGUUUCUUAAGUCUGAUGUGAAAUCUUGCGGCUCAACCGCAAGGGGGCAUUGGAAACUGGGGAACUUGAGUGCAGAAGAGGAGAGUGGAAUUCCACGUGUAGGGGUGAAAUGCGUAGAUAUGUGGAGGAACACCAGUGGCGAAGGCGACUCUCUGGUCUGUAACUGACGCUGAGGUGCGAAAGCGUGGGGAGCGAACAGG